This 23-nucleotide non-coding RNA is filed under the name Arabidopsis thaliana (thale cress). The record is from RNAcentral. Lineage: Eukaryota; Viridiplantae; Streptophyta; Magnoliopsida; Brassicales; Brassicaceae.
GGUACAGUGGCGGACCAGGAUUA